This 254-nucleotide ribosomal RNA is filed under the name uncultured bacterium. Its description in RNAcentral is "partial 16S ribosomal RNA". It matches the Rfam family "Bacterial small subunit ribosomal RNA", at positions 524 to 776 of the family's 1533-position model. The record is from RNAcentral.
UACGUAGGGGGCGAGCGUUGUCCGGAUUUAUUGGGCGUAAAGAGCUCGUAGGCGGCUUGGCAAGUCGGGUGUGAAACCUCCAGGCUCAACCUGGAGACGCCACUCGAUACUGCUAUGGCUAGAGUCCGGUAGGGGACCACGGAAUUCCUGGUGUAGCGGUGAAAUGCGUAGAUAUCUGGAGGAACACCGGUGGCGAAGGCGGCAUCCUGGACCGGCAUUGACGCUGAGGCGCGAAAGCCAGGGGAGCAAACGGG